GAUGAAGAACGUAGCAUAAUGCGAUAAGUAAUGUGAAUUGCAGAAUUCAGUGAAUCAUCGAAUCUUUGAACGCACAUUGCGCCCGCCAGUAUUCUGGCGGGCAUGCCUGUUCGAGCGUCAUUUCAACCCUCAGGCCCUCGGGUUUGGUGUUGGGGAUCGGCGAGCCUUUCUGGCAAGCCGGCCCCGAAAUCUAGUGGCGGUCUCGCUGCAGCCUCCAUUGCGUAGUAGUAAAACCCUCGCAACUGGAACGCGGCGCGGCCAAGCCGUUAAACCCCCAACUUCUGAAUGUUGACCUCGGAUCAGGUAGGAAUACCCGCUGAACUUAAGCAUAUCAAUAAGCGGAGGA
RNAcentral lists this unclassified non-coding RNA (346 nucleotides) under soil metagenome. RNAcentral describes it as "partial contains 5.8S ribosomal RNA, internal transcribed spacer 2, and large subunit ribosomal RNA". The stretch from base 1 to 120 matches the Rfam family "5.8S ribosomal RNA", at positions 35 to 154 of the family's 154-position model. The record is from RNAcentral.